This 442-nucleotide ribosomal RNA is filed under the name uncultured bacterium. RNAcentral describes it as "partial 16S ribosomal RNA". It matches the Rfam family "Bacterial small subunit ribosomal RNA", at positions 338 to 795 of the family's 1533-position model. The record is from RNAcentral.
CCUACGGGAGGCAGCAGUAGGGAAUCUUUCACAAUGGGCGAAAGCCUGAUGGAGCAACGCCGCGUGCAGGAUGAAGGCCUUCGGGUUGUAAACUGCUUUUAUAAGCGAGAAAUAUGAUGGUAACUUAUGAAUAAGGAUCGGCUAACUACGUGCCAGCAGCCGCGGUCAUACGUAGGAUCCGAGCAUUAUCCGGAGUGACUGGGUGUAAAGAGUUGCGUAGGUGGCAUAAUAAGUAGCUAGUGAAAUCUGGUGGCUCAACCAUUCAGACUAUUAGCUAAACUGUUAAGCUCGAGACCGUUAGGGGUAACUGGAAUUUCUAGUGUAGGAGUGAAAUCCGUAGAUAUUAGAAGGAACACCAAUAGCGUAGGCAGGUUGCUGGGACGGUUCUGGCACUAAGGCACGAAAGCGUAGGGAGCAAACGGGAUUAGAUACCCCAGUAGUC